RNA transcript from Cylas formicarius (sweet potato weevil), 3912 nucleotides. It is a transcript of the gene named brain tumor protein-like, with no coding region annotated. NCBI's taxonomy places the organism in Eukaryota, Metazoa, Arthropoda, Insecta, Coleoptera, Brentidae. The record is from RefSeq and is a predicted model, not a curated record. The transcript is spliced from 10 exons.
UUUCGAACGCGUUACACUACAGGCGGAAAUGAAACAAGCGCCAAUCGAUUUUUAUAUACGCACUUUGGCAACCGUGGUUGCGCCAUUUGCAAAAUAUUUGUUCGUCAUGGCAAUGGCACACAAAUCGACAGAAUAAUCAGUUUCUGUUGGGGAAAACAGGCCUACUGAGAGUAUCUCUUAGCGUACAAAGGGCCGCGAGAAUCAUCUAGAACAAUGGGUACGCAACUAAACGAAGAAUUCUCCUUGCCAGAAGACCAAUUUCCUAUGGCCGAGGAUUUUGACGUAUCUGAUAAUAUUUUACUAGGAGAAACAAAUGGCAAAUUGUGUAGCGAGCCUCUGGAGGGUGCUCUGCUUGGUGACCCAGACAAUUGUGGAAUGUGUGGCGGUAAACUGGUAACGCCGCGCAUGCUCUACUGCCUGCACGUGUUCUGCGAGCAGUGCUUGGAGAAAAAGCUGAUCGGUGACGCAGGUGACGCGGGCAGCCCGAAUGCGUCUAUCGUUUGCCCGACCUGCGGCUUCGAAUCUCAGGUGGGGGUUAAGAAAAUCUCGGCGCUGCUCCUCGACGUAACGAAGACGAACGUGUCGGACGUGUCGCACACGUCGACGUUAACGUGCACGUCGUGUACCGCGAAAGAAGUGGCGAAGUCUAAAUGCAACACGUGCCACAACCUGCUGUGCGCGAAUUGCGACUCUGCGCAUCACUACAUGCGUUGCUUCGAGUCACAUCGUGUCGUCGAACUCGAGGACAUGCGCAAGCGCGGUGUCAAGAUCACUAUACAUAAGCCGCUCGACUGCGACGUUCAUCCCGGCGAGAGCGUCGCAUUCAACUGCGCGGUAUGCAACAGUCUCAUAUGCUGUGUGUGCGCGAAGACCGAGCACAUGGGUCACCCGACGGAGGGCGUUUCUGAGUCAGAGGUGCGCGUGCGCCAAGAGAUGGAGAGUCUGCUGACGAAGAGCAAGGACCGGCUGGAGAAGCUAGCCAAGUGCGCGGCCGGCCUCGACGCCAACAUGGAGGAGCUAGCGCAUCAGCGUUCCUCCGCCAGGGACCUGAUCAACGAAUCGUACCAAAGUUACAAGGCUGUAUUGGAGAGGCGCCGCGACGCGGCCCUCGACGAACUGAACGAACUGUACCAUGAGCGGGAGCUGAAAAUUAUGAAGCAGUCGGACGAGAUGGGACGCGCGAUCGGCAACCUCGAGGACGCUUGCCGGUACACUUCGCGCCUCCUCGACACCGGCACCGUCUUGGAGAUGAUGUAUCUGCGGCAAAUCAUCGCGUCGCGGCUUCUCACACUGAAUUCAAGUUCGCCCAGAGCGGAGGCGUCGUUCAGCGUCGAGUUCAAGAGUGAUUUUGACAAUUUUGAGAAGAUGGUCGGCAAGCACUUUGGCGUUUUCCUUACCGAGACGGCAGUCGUUGUCGGCGCCGGGUCGCCGAUGCCCAGUCCCGGCUCUCCGGAAUCGAUUGCAGCGCCAAUGCUGAACGGGACUACGGUUGCGUCAAAAACGGCAUCGUUAGCGAAUGGCGGCAGUCCGAUAUCGUUACCAGCAUCGAUGCAGUCGUCGUUCGACGGCGCCGAUAUCUCCAAUAACCUGCCGCCCAAUUUCGGGUUGACGCAGAGCCCGCCGCCGUCGCAGUUGCCUUCGCACAUGUCCGGCGCCGCCCCCACGUUGCAGGGUUUCUCGAGCAUUGCCGAGUUUAAUCUCGCGCAGCUCGCCACCCUCGCAGAAAAUUCGAAUAGCGCCGGGACGUCGCCGACACCGCCGUUCAAUUUUGUCGACAUUCUGACGAACGACACGGCGUACAAGAAUUUGGCAUCGCUGGCGAAGAUUGGACUCAACGCGGCCGAUGCGAAUCAGACGAUAACGAACGGUAGCAACAUGCUGGUGCGUUCAACUUCGGUCGCAUCCCUUAACCUGGGCAACAACUUGAUGAAUGGUUUCGGCGGGGUGUCGACGUCGGCGUCACCGCUCCUGUCGACGCCGGACGACAUCAUACAGGAUCCUACGCUCGGUACCAUGCUGCCCUCCGGUGGCAACAAUCCAAACCCGGCCGUCAACCGCGGCAAUAAGGUCAGCCCGAUGCAGAUCCGCUGCAAGUUUGGUCAGCUGGGGCCCGGAAAGGGCCAGUUUAACUCACCCCAUGGUUUCUGCCUCGGUCUGGAGGAGGACAUCAUCGUCGCCGACACGAACAAUCAUCGGAUACAGAUAUUCGAGAAGACGGGCUCGUUCAAGUUCCAGUUCGGCAUACCGGGCAAGGACGAGGGCCAGCUGUGGUACCCGCGCAAGGUAGCGGUGAUGAGGAGUACCGGCAAGUACGUGGUGUGCGAUCGGGGCAACGAGCGAUCCCGCAUGCAGAUCUUCACGAAGAACGGGCACUUUUUGAAGAAGAUCGCGAUCCGUUACAUCGACAUCGUCGCGGGUCUCGCGGUCACCGGCCAAGGGGAGAUCGUUGCCGUCGAUAGCGUCAGCCCCACCGUCUUUAUCAUCCACGAGAACGGCAACCUGUUGCGUUGGUUCGAUUGCAGCGACUACAUGCGCGAGCCGUCCGACAUCGCCAUACACGGCAAAGAGUUUUACGUGUGCGACUUCAAAGGCCACAACGUCGUCGUGUUUAACGACGAUGGACAGUUUUUGCGACGCAUCGGCUGCGAGAACCUGACCAAUUUCCCGAACGGCAUCGACAUAUCCGACGCCGGCGACGUCCUUAUCGGCGACUCGCACGGCAACAGGUUCCACGUCGCGGUGUUCGCCCGCGACGGCUCCCUCAUCUCCGAGUUCGAGUGUCCCUACGUUAAGGUGUCCCGUUGCUGCGGCUUGAAAAUCACAUCGGAGGGAUACGUGGUGACGUUGGCGAAGAAUAAUCACCACGUGCUCGUCCUAAACACGCUAUACAUCUUGUAGGGUCGUCACCACCAACACCACCACCACCACCGCCGCCACGGGGUAGAUUUGAUCUCGCACUGUACAUAGUACCGAACUGAUUUUUAUUUAACGCAUUGAUUUGUCGUUUAAGUUUUUCGAUCGAUUUUUUUCGAGAUGUUUGUCGAAAAAAUAGAGCGAGAGAGAAAGAGAGUGCGCGCGUGCGCACUCGAGAGCGCGAACAAUGAGAGAGAGAAGGCGAAUAGAACCGGUCGGCCGGAGUAUGUUAUCCAGCCGCGGGCAUUUAAAAAAACAUAGUAUUACGCGUAACCUUUGCGUUUGCAUGGAACCACGCCCCCUACGGAUCUGUGAUGCCGCACAAAUGAACGACCAAUCUGGAUCGACGUGGCAAGAGUUCAAAAAAUACAUUGGAAAAUAAUCGCAGAUGGCGUUUGUUCUGCGGGACCCCUGUCGGUAACAAUCACCUCGUGAAUAGUAGUAGUCGCGCCCCAGCCACCACCUUCCUACGAUUAAGUACCUCUCGUUUCUCUCCGCUUGACCUUUUUCUCGCGAAAAUUCGUCGUACCUUUUUCGAACUUAUCGAUAACGGUAAUUAAAUAGAAAAACAAAAAAAAUGAAAACAAAAAAACUAGUUAAAAGUGAAGAAUGUUCAAGAGUUGCUUCAGUAUUUUUAGAUAAUAUUAGAUACCUUGUUCUUAUAUAUCUAUACAUCAUACAUUCUUUAUCUAAUAUUAUAUACGUAUUAUAUCCUAUUUAUAUUUGUGAAGGUUUUAAGUACUCUAACGUGCUAAUAAUAACGUUUGAUAAAAUAUUAUUGAAUGACACCUAACGAUUUUUGCUAUACGCCGGAAUAUAUAUACGUUAGUUAUUGGUAUUGCCUUAUUGGUUUAAAUCUCUGUGGUUAUUCAGGGUGGCAAGAGCGCCAUAACACGUGGGCUCAUAUUUUUCGAAAUGUUUUUUAUUUAAAUUGUACUAAAAGGUUGUUUUCAUUUGUAAUAUUGGUUUAUAAUGAUAUGAAUAUAACUCAAAAUCAUU